Molecule: ribosomal RNA, 591 nt
Filed under: uncultured bacterium
Lineage: Bacteria
Description: bacterial SSU rRNA
Rfam family: Bacterial small subunit ribosomal RNA
Source: RNAcentral
GCGGAGGAACAUGUGGUUUAAUUCGAUGAUACGCGAGGAACCUUACCCGGGCUUAAAUUGCAGAUGAAUUGCGGUGAAAGCCGUAAGCCGCAAGGCAUCUGUGAAGGUGCUGCAUGGUUGUCGUCAGCUCGUGCCGUGAGGUGUCGGCUUAAGUGCCAUAACGAGCGCAACCCUUGUUGUCAGUUACUAACAGGUUCCGCUGAGGACUCUGACAAGACUGCCAUCGUAAGAUGUGAGGAAGGUGGGGAUGACGUCAAAUCAGCACGGCCCUUACGUCCGGGGCUACACACGUGUUACAAUGGGGGGUACAGAGGGCCGCUACCACGCGAGUGGAUGCCAAUCCCCAAAACCUCUCUCAGUUCGGACUGGAGUCUGCAACCCGACUCCACGAAGCUGGAUUCGCUAGUAAUCGCGCAUCAGCCACGGCGCGGUGAAUACGUUCCCGGGCCUUGUACACACCGCCCGUCAAGCCAUGGGAGCCGGGGGUACUUGAAGUGCGUAACCGCGAGGAGCGCCCUAGGGUAAAACUGGUGACUGGGGCUAAGUCGUAACAAGGUAGCCGUACCGGAAGGUGCGGCUGGAUCACCUCCA